UACGUAGGGUGCAAGCGUUGUCCGGAAUUAUUGGGCGUAAAGAGCUCGUAGGCGGUUUGUUGCGUCGGCUGUGAAAUCCCGAGGCUCAACCUCGGGUCUGCAGUCGAUACGAGCAAACUAGAGUGUUGCAGGGGAGACUGGAAUUCCUGGUGUAGCGGUGAAAUGCGCAGAUAUCAGGAGUAACACCGGUGGCGAAGGCGGGUCUCUGGGCAACAACUGACGCUGAGGAGCGAAAGCGUGGGGAGCGAACAGG
RNAcentral lists this ribosomal RNA (253 nucleotides) under uncultured bacterium. Its description in RNAcentral is "partial 16S ribosomal RNA". It matches the Rfam family "Bacterial small subunit ribosomal RNA", at positions 524 to 776 of the family's 1533-position model. The record is from RNAcentral.